This 1180-nucleotide ribosomal RNA is filed under the name uncultured bacterium. Its description in RNAcentral is "bacterial SSU rRNA". It matches the Rfam family "Bacterial small subunit ribosomal RNA", at positions 8 to 1190 of the family's 1533-position model. The record is from RNAcentral.
AGAGUUUGAUCCUGGCUCAGGAUGAACGCUAGCGGCAGGCCUAACACAUGCAAGUCGAGGGGUAACGAUGGCUUCGGCCAGGCGACGACCGGCGUACGGGUGAGUUCCGCGUUUGUAACCUACCUCUAACUGGAGCAUAGCUCCCGGAAACGGGAAUUAAUUCUCCAUAAUAUUUAAACAUGGCAUCAUGUUUUCAUUAAAGCUCCGGCGGUUAGAGAUGGGCAUGCGUGACAUUAGCUUGUUGGUAAGGUAACGGCUUACCAAGGCUACGAUGUCUCGGGGGUCUGAGAGGAUGAUCCCCCACACUGGUACUGAGACACGGACCAGACUCCUACGGGAGGCAGCAGUGAGGAAUAUUGGGCAAUGGACGCAAGUCUGACCCAGCCAUGCCGCGUGCAGGAUGAAUGCCCUAUGGGUUGUAAACUGCUUUUAUACAGGAAGAAACCCUCUGACGUGUCAGAGGUUGACGGUACUGUAAGAAUAAGCAUCGGCUAACUCCGUGCCAGCAGCCGCGGUAAUACGGAGGAUGCAAGCGUUAUCCGGAUUUAUUGGGUUUAAAGGGUGCGUAGGCGGGGCAAUUAGUCAGUGGUGAAAUCCUGCGGCUUAACCGUAGAACUGCCAUUGAUACUGUUGCCCUUGAGUAUAGUUGAGGUGGGCGGAAUGUGUAAUGUAGCGGUGAAAUGCAUAGAGAUUACACAGAACACCAAUUGCGAAGGCAGCUCACUAAGCUAUAACUGACGCUAAGGCACGAAAGCGUGAGGAGCGACAGGAUUAGAUACCCUGGUAGUCCACGCUGUAAACGAUGAUCACUCGUUGUUGGCAAUACAUCGUCAGCGACUGAGCGAAAGCAUUAAGUGAUCCACCUGGGGAGUACGAUCGCAAGAUUGAAACUCAAAGGAAUUGACGGGGGCCCGCACAAGCGGAGGAACAUGUGGUUUAAUUCGAUGAUACGCGAGGAACCUUACCUGGGCUUAAAUGCAAAACGACACCCCGAGAAAUCGGGGUUCCCUUCGGGGCGAAUUGCAAGGUGCUGCAUGGCUGUCGUCAGCUCGUGCCGUGAGGUGUCGGGUUAAGUCCCAUAACGAGCGCAACCCCUAUUGUUAGUUGCCAGCGGAUAAUGCCGGGGACUCUAACGAAACUGCCAGUGUAAACUGUGAGGAAGGUGGGGAUGACGUCAAGU